GUUGACCUCGGAUCAGGUAGGAAUACCCGCUGAACUUAAGCAUAUCAAUAAGCGGAGGAAAAGAAACCAACAGGGAUUCCCCUAGUAACGGCGAGUGAAGCGGGAACAGCUCAAAUUUGAAAUCUGGCCCUUGGGUCCGAGUUGUAAUUUGCAGAGGAUGCUUUUGGUGCGGUGCCUUCCGAGUUCCCUGGAACGGGACGCCUUAGAGGGUGAGAGCCCCGUACGGUUGGCCACCAAGCCUUUGUAAAGCUCCUUCGACGAGUCGAGUAGUUUGGGAAUGCUGCUCAAAAUGGGAGGUAUAUUUCUUCUAAAGCUAAAUACUGGCCAGAGACCGAUAGCGCACAAGUAGAGUGAUCGAAAGAUGAAAAGCACUUUGAAAAGAGGGUUAAAUAGCACGUGAAAUUGUUGAAAGGGAAGGAUUUAUGACCAGACUUUUUCUAGGGGGAUCAUCCGGUGUUCUCACCGGUGCACUUCCCCUAGUUGAGGCCAGCAUCGGUUUCUGCCGGGGGAUAAAAGCUUCGGGAAUGUGGCUCCUUCGGGAGUGUUAUAGCCCGUUGCAUAAUACCCUGGCGGGGACCGAGGUUCGCGCAUC
RNAcentral lists this ribosomal RNA (592 nucleotides) under Apiospora ovata. RNAcentral's name for it is "Arthrinium ovatum partial large subunit ribosomal RNA". It matches the Rfam family "Eukaryotic large subunit ribosomal RNA", at positions 1 to 603 of the family's 3401-position model. Lineage: Eukaryota; Fungi; Ascomycota; Sordariomycetes; Amphisphaeriales; Apiosporaceae. The record is from RNAcentral.